UGAGGAAUAUUGGUCAAUGGACGGAAGUCUGAACCAGCCAAGUAGCGUGCAGGAUGACGGCCCUAUGGGUUGUAAACUGCUUUUGUAUGGGGAUAAAGUUAGGGACGUGUCCCUAUUUGCAGGUACCAUACGAAUAAGGACCGGCUAAUUCCGUGCCAGCAGCCGCGGUAAUACGGAAGGUCCAGGCGUUAUCCGGAUUUAUUGGGUUUAAAGGGAGCGUAGGCUGGAGAUUAAGUGUGUUGUGAAAUGUAGACGCUCAACGUCUGAAUUGCAGCGCAUACUGGUUUCCUUGAGUACGCACAACGUUGGCGGAAUUCGUCGUGUAGCGGUGAAAUGCUUAGAUAUGACGAAGAACUCCGAUUGCAAAGGCAGCUGACGGGAGCGCAACUGACGCUUAAGCUCGAAGGUGCGGGUAUCAAACAGGAUUAGAUACCCUGGUAGUCCGCACAGUAAACGAUGGAUGCCCGCUGUUGGUACCUGGUAUCAGCGGCUAAGCGAAAGCAUUAAGCAUCCCACCUGGGGAGUACGCCGGCAACGGUG
Molecule: ribosomal RNA, 540 nt
Filed under: uncultured bacterium
Lineage: Bacteria
Description: bacterial SSU rRNA
Rfam family: Bacterial small subunit ribosomal RNA
Source: RNAcentral